RNAcentral lists this ribosomal RNA (253 nucleotides) under uncultured bacterium. RNAcentral's name for it is "partial 16S ribosomal RNA". It matches the Rfam family "Bacterial small subunit ribosomal RNA", at positions 524 to 776 of the family's 1533-position model. The record is from RNAcentral.
UACAGAGGUCUCAAGCGUUGUUCGGAUUCAUUGGGCGUAAAGGGUGUGUAGGUGGCGCUGUAAGUCGGGUGUGAAAUUUCGGAGCUUAACUCCGAAACUGCAUUCGAUACUGCGGUGCUUGAGGACUGGAGAGGAGACUGGAAUUCCUGGUGUAGCGGUGAAAUGCGCAGAUAUCAGGAGGAACACCGGUGGCGAAGGCGGGUCUCUGGGCCGAUACUGACGCUGAGGAGCGAAAGCGUGGGGAGCGAACAGG